UACGUAGGGUCCGAGCGUUGUCCGGAAUUAUUGGGCGUAAAGGGCUCGUAGGCGGUUCGUCACGUCGGGAGUGAAAACUCGGAGCUUAACUCCGAGCCUGCUUCCGAUACGGGCAGACUAGAGGUAGGCAGGGGAGAGCGGAACUCCUGGUGUAGCGGUGGAAUGCGUAGAUAUCUGGAGGAACACCGGUGGCGAAGGCGGCAUCCUGGACCAAUUCUGACGCUGAGGAGCGAAAGCCAGGGGAGCAAACGGG
Molecule: ribosomal RNA, 253 nt
Filed under: uncultured bacterium
Lineage: Bacteria
Description: partial 16S ribosomal RNA
Rfam family: Bacterial small subunit ribosomal RNA
Source: RNAcentral